This 440-nucleotide ribosomal RNA is filed under the name uncultured bacterium. RNAcentral describes it as "partial 16S ribosomal RNA". It matches the Rfam family "Bacterial small subunit ribosomal RNA", at positions 338 to 795 of the family's 1533-position model. The record is from RNAcentral.
CCUACGGGAGGCUGCAGUGGGGGAUAUUGCACAAUGGGGGGAACCCUGAUGCAGCGACGCCGCGUGGGUGAAGGAGCGUUUCGGCGCGUAAAGCCCUAUCGGCAGGGACGAAGAUGACGGUACCUGACCAAGAAGCCCCGGCUAAAUACGUGCCAGCAGCCGCGGUAAUACGUAGGGGGAAAGAGUGAUCCGGAUUGACUGGAUGUGAAGGGGGGGCAGACGGCAAGGCAAGCCAGGAGUUAAAGCCCCGGGCACAACCCCGGGACUGCCCGUGGAACUGCAUGGCUGGAGUACAGGAGGGGCAGGCGGAAUUCCUAGUGUAGCGGUGAAAUGCGUAGAUAUGAGGAGGAACACUGGUGGCGAAGGCGGCCUGCUGGACUGUGACUGACGUUGAGGCCCGAAGGCGUGGGGAGCAAACAGGAUUAGAUACCCCGGUAGUC